GUCCUACGGGGGGCAGCAGUAGGGAAUCUUCCACAAUGGGCGAAAGCCUGAUGGAGCAACGCCGCGUGGGUGAAGAAGGUCUUCGGAUCGUAAAACCCUGUUGUUAGAGAAGAAAGGGCGUGAGAGUAACUGUUCACGUUUCGACGGUAUCUAACCAGAAAGCCACGGCUAACUACGUGCCAGCAGCCGCGGUAAUACGUAGGUGGCAAGCGUUAUCCGGAUUUAUUGGGCGUAAAGAGAACGCAGGCGGUCUUUUAAGUCUGAUGUGAAAGCCUUCGGCUUAAUCGGAGUAGUGCAUUGGAAAC
RNAcentral lists this ribosomal RNA (305 nucleotides) under uncultured bacterium. RNAcentral's name for it is "bacterial SSU rRNA". It matches the Rfam family "Bacterial small subunit ribosomal RNA", at positions 335 to 633 of the family's 1533-position model. The record is from RNAcentral.